This 762-nucleotide ribosomal RNA is filed under the name uncultured bacterium. RNAcentral's name for it is "bacterial SSU rRNA". It matches the Rfam family "Bacterial small subunit ribosomal RNA", at positions 20 to 796 of the family's 1533-position model. The record is from RNAcentral.
UGGCUCAGGAUUAACGCUGGCGGUGUGUAUAAUACAUGCAAGUCGAGCGCCCGGCACUCUGUUCCCAAAUAUGUUGGUGAUAGUGUGCCGGGAGCGGCGGACGGGUGAGUAACACGUUGGUAACUACCUUGGAAUCAGGGAUAAGCCCUAGAAAUAGGGUCUAAUACCGGAUAGUCCCGUAAGGGUAAAGCAGCAAUGCGUUCCAAGAGGUGCCUGCGGCAUAUCAGCUUGUUGGUGAGGUAAUGGCUCACCAAGGCUAUGACGUGUAGCUGGUCUGAGAGGACGGCCAGCCACAAUGGGACUGAGACACGGCCCAUACUCCUACGGGAGGCAGCAGUAAAGAAUCUUUCACAAUGGGGGAAACCCUGAUGAAGCAACACCGCGUGGAGGAUGAAGGCGUUUUCGUUGUAAACUCCUUUUCUGAGGGAAUAAUCUUGAAGGUACCCCAGGAAUAAGCAACGGCUAACUACGUGCCAGCAGCCGCGGUAAUACGUAGGUUGCAAGCGUUAUCCGGAAUUAUUGGGCGUAAAGCGUGCGCAGGCGGGUCGCUAAGUUGGAUGUUAAAUCCCUGAGCUCAACUCAGGAUUGGUAUCCAAAACUGACGAUCUAGAGAAAUGCAGAGGUAAGUGGAAUUCUGUAUGUAGGGGUAAUAUCCGUAGAUAUACAGAGGAACACCAAAAGCGAAGGCAGCUUACUGGGCAUUUUCUGACGCUCAUGCACGAAAGCGUGGGGAGCAAACGGGAUUAGAUACCCUGGUAGUCC